AACUUUCAAAAACGGAUCUCUUGGCUCUUGCAUCAAUGAAGAACGCAACGAAAUGCUAUAAGUAAUGUGAAUUGCAGAAUUCAGUGAAUCAUCAAAUCUUUGAACGCACCUUGCGCCCUUUGGAUAUUCCCAAGGGCAUGCCUGUUUGAGUAUC
RNAcentral lists this ribosomal RNA (154 nucleotides) under uncultured Tomentella. Its description in RNAcentral is "5.8S ribosomal RNA". It matches the Rfam family "5.8S ribosomal RNA". From Rfam's summary of the family: 5.8S ribosomal RNA (5.8S rRNA) is a component of the large subunit of the eukaryotic ribosome. It is transcribed by RNA polymerase I as part of the 45S precursor that also contains 18S and 28S rRNA. Lineage: Eukaryota; Fungi; Basidiomycota; Agaricomycetes; Thelephorales; Thelephoraceae. The record is from RNAcentral.